This 1026-nucleotide long non-coding RNA is filed under the name Danio rerio (zebrafish). Its description in RNAcentral is "si:ch211-80m8.4 (ENSDARG00000096957.3)". The record is from RNAcentral. Lineage: Eukaryota; Metazoa; Chordata; Actinopteri; Cypriniformes; Danionidae.
ACUGUGCGCUGUUGUCACUUGCCACGUACAGCGGAAUCCAACGGGAAAAGCGCAACCGCCCCAUCAGGCACAGCUGUAGAAACCUUCUCAAGAAAUGUCAUAUCAAUGCGCCAGCGUCAGACAGUAAACUUCACAACAUGGACAAACUGCUGCAAGCACAUCCAUUUGUCGCUGAACAUACGCGCGUUACAAAUAUCCAAACCUAACGUUAAUUGACUUUCAGUAGAUUCUCAAGUGUUUAGGAAUUUCAUGCGCAUGGUUUAUCCAAUCUACUCACCAUUUUUUGGAGAUAAAUAAAUAUUAGAUUCCGUCUACGCCGCAACACGAGAUUAGUUACAGAGCAGAUCCAACAUCAUAAAUAUUCUCUGCAUCAUUUUAAGGACUGUAGGCAACUUUUCCACUGCUUUUUCCAAACGCGAUCCAACCACUCCCUGGCCCCGCCCUCCGCUGAUCUCUCAUUGGUUCAGCCUUUUGUUGCCGUUUUUUGAUUGGUUUCAAGUCAAGUCGAUCAGAUUCUCCGGGUCGAUGGACACACGCGUUCCAAUGUGUCACGUGAUGAGACUCGAACCGCUCUACUGCUUAUGCUUUACCACACAUCCAGGAUAUGCAUGUGAAGGGUGUGCUCAUCUCCAGGAGCAGUGUCACCAUAGGGAGGAAAUGACCCUGCCAGUUCCACACAACCGCCCCUGCAAACCCCGCCAGGGCGAAGAAGUGGUGAACAGCUAACGGCAGGUCAAAGGAACGAAACACCACAUUGGACAUGUGGAGGGCCAUGUUUUCAAACAGGAAGAAGCCCGUAGAAGUUAGAAUGUUGAACCAGGACCAGUCUUCCUGUCCGAGAAUCUUAUCAGAGAAGAGAACAGAUUCCUCCAUGAGGGCCCGAAGACCUGCCACAAUGCCCUGAAUGCCAAACACAGCCCGUGUUGCAGCCAAAUCCCAGAAAACCUAGAAAAUUUUUAAAUGGUAGAACAUGUUAAUGAUUUUUUAAUAAAGAAUUUAAUAAAGGUCUAUUAUGAUUCAAAAGAG